RNAcentral lists this ribosomal RNA (441 nucleotides) under uncultured bacterium. RNAcentral describes it as "partial 16S ribosomal RNA". It matches the Rfam family "Bacterial small subunit ribosomal RNA", at positions 338 to 795 of the family's 1533-position model. The record is from RNAcentral.
CCUACGGGAGGCAGCAGUGGGGAAUAUUGCACAAUGGGGGGAACCCUGAUGCAGCGACGCCGCGGGGGUGCAGGAGUAUUUCGGUAUGUAAAGCCCUAUCCGCAGGGAAGAACAAUGACGGUACCUGACUAAGAAGCACCGGCUAAAUACGUGCCAGCAGCCGCGGUAAUACGUAUGGUGCAAGCGUUAUCCGGAUUUACUGGGGGUAAAGGGAGCGCAGGCGGCGCGUUAAGCCUGGUGUGAAAGUCCGCGGCCCAACCGCGGGACUGCAUUGGGAACUGGCGCGCUGGAGUGCCGGAGGGGUAGGCGGAAUUCCUAGUGUAGCGGUGAAAUGCGUAGAUAUUAGGAGGAACACCAGGGGCGAAGGCGGCCUACUGGACGGUGACUGACGCUGAGGCUCGAAAGCGUGGGGAGCAAACAGGAUUAGAUACCCCAGUAGUC